GGCGUUGUGACAGGAAUUUAUACCUGAUUGUGUUAAUCUUCAACCCAUAAAUCACCCUGUAUUAAAUUGGAGAGAGAGGAAACGUAUUCGCAUGAUUUCAAAACUCGGCUCAUAUUUUCUGAAUCAAUAAUCAUAAAUAAACUUUCAUUUGAUCGUAAAUAAACUUUUUAAAGGUAUUUCUGAGAAGAAAAAUGCUUGAAAAAUAAAAUUUAACCAUCGUCAGUUUAGUUUUUAAUUUCAUCUGUCCAGGGAGUGAAAACUACUACUAAAAGUUAAAUUUCG
Non-coding RNA from Paramuricea clavata, 282 nucleotides. The record is from the annotation of a GenBank genome assembly. NCBI's taxonomy places the organism in Eukaryota, Metazoa, Cnidaria, Anthozoa, Malacalcyonacea, Plexauridae.